This 2929-nucleotide ribosomal RNA is filed under the name Escherichia coli. RNAcentral describes it as "bacterial LSU rRNA". It matches the Rfam family "Bacterial large subunit ribosomal RNA". Lineage: Bacteria; Pseudomonadati; Pseudomonadota; Gammaproteobacteria; Enterobacterales; Enterobacteriaceae. The record is from RNAcentral.
GGGUUGUGAGGUUAAGCGACUAAGCGUACACGGUGGAUGCCCUGGCAGUCAGAGGCGAUGAAGGACGUGCUAAUCUGCGAUAAGCGUCGGUAAGGUGAUAUGAACCGUUAUAACCGGCGAUUUCCGAAUGGGGAAACCCAGUGUGAUUCGUCACACUAUCAUUAACUGAAUCCAUAGGUUAAUGAGGCGAACCGGGGGAACUGAAACAUCUAAGUACCCCGAGGAAAAGAAAUCAACCGAGAUUCCCCCAGUAGCGGCGAGCGAACGGGGAGCAGCCCAGAGCCUGAAUCAGUGUGUGUGUUAGUGGAAGCGUCUGGAAAGGCGCGCGAUACAGGGUGACAGCCCCGUACACAAAAAUGCACAUGCUGUGAGCUCGAUGAGUAGGGCGGGACACGUGGUAUCCUGUCUGAAUAUGGGGGGACCAUCCUCCAAGGCUAAAUACUCCUGACUGACCGAUAGUGAACCAGUACCGUGAGGGAAAGGCGAAAAGAACCCCGGCGAGGGGAGUGAAAAAGAACCUGAAACCGUGUACGUACAAGCAGUGGGAGCACGCUUAGGCGUGUGACUGCGUACCUUUUGUAUAAUGGGUCAGCGACUUAUAUUCUGUAGCAAGGUUAACCGAAUAGGGGAGCCGAAGGGAAACCGAGUCUUAACUGGGCGUUAAGUUGCAGGGUAUAGACCCGAAACCCGGUGAUCUAGCCAUGGGCAGGUUGAAGGUUGGGUAACACUAACUGGAGGACCGAACCGACUAAUGUUGAAAAAUUAGCGGAUGACUUGUGGCUGGGGGUGAAAGGCCAAUCAAACCGGGAGAUAGCUGGUUCUCCCCGAAAGCUAUUUAGGUAGCGCCUCGUGAAUUCAUCUCCGGGGGUAGAGCACUGUUUCGGCAAGGGGUCAUCCCGACUUACCAACCCGAUGCAAACUGCGAAUACCGGAGAAUGUUAUCACGGGAGACACACGGCGGGUGCUAACGUCCGUCGUGAAGAGGGAAACAACCCAGACCGCCAGCUAAGGUCCCAAAGUCAUGGUUAAGUGGGAAACGAUGUGGGAAGGCCCAGACAGCCAGGAUGUUGGCUUAGAAGCAGCCAUCAUUUAAAGAAAGCGUAAUAGCUCACUGGUCGAGUCGGCCUGCGCGGAAGAUGUAACGGGGCUAAACCAUGCACCGAAGCUGCGGCAGCGACACUAUGUGUUGUUGGGUAGGGGAGCGUUCUGUAAGCCUGCGAAGGUGUGCUGUGAGGCAUGCUGGAGGUAUCAGAAGUGCGAAUGCUGACAUAAGUAACGAUAAAGCGGGUGAAAAGCCCGCUCGCCGGAAGACCAAGGGUUCCUGUCCAACGUUAAUCGGGGCAGGGUGAGUCGACCCCUAAGGCGAGGCCGAAAGGCGUAGUCGAUGGGAAACAGGUUAAUAUUCCUGUACUUGGUGUUACUGCGAAGGGGGGACGGAGAAGGCUAUGUUGGCCGGGCGACGGUUGUCCCGGUUUAAGCGUGUAGGCUGGUUUUCCAGGCAAAUCCGGAAAAUCAAGGCUGAGGCGUGAUGACGAGGCACUACGGUGCUGAAGCAACAAAUGCCCUGCUUCCAGGAAAAGCCUCUAAGCAUCAGGUAACAUCAAAUCGUACCCCAAACCGACACAGGUGGUCAGGUAGAGAAUACCAAGGCGCUUGAGAGAACUCGGGUGAAGGAACUAGGCAAAAUGGUGCCGUAACUUCGGGAGAAGGCACGCUGAUAUGUAGGUGAAGCGACUUGCUCGUGGAGCUGAAAUCAGUCGAAGAUACCAGCUGGCUGCAACUGUUUAUUAAAAACACAGCACUGUGCAAACACGAAAGUGGACGUAUACGGUGUGACGCCUGCCCGGUGCCGGAAGGUUAAUUGAUGGGGUUAGCGCAAGCGAAGCUCUUGAUCGAAGCCCCGGUAAACGGCGGCCGUAACUAUAACGGUCCUAAGGUAGCGAAAUUCCUUGUCGGGUAAGUUCCGACCUGCACGAAUGGCGUAAUGAUGGCCAGGCUGUCUCCACCCGAGACUCAGUGAAAUUGAACUCGCUGUGAAGAUGCAGUGUACCCGCGGCAAGACGGAAAGACCCCGUGAACCUUUACUAUAGCUUGACACUGAACAUUGAGCCUUGAUGUGUAGGAUAGGUGGGAGGCUUUGAAGUGUGGACGCCAGUCUGCAUGGAGCCGACCUUGAAAUACCACCCUUUAAUGUUUGAUGUUCUAACGUUGACCCGUAAUCCGGGUUGCGGACAGUGUCUGGUGGGUAGUUUGACUGGGGCGGUCUCCUCCUAAAGAGUAACGGAGGAGCACGAAGGUUGGCUAAUCCUGGUCGGACAUCAGGAGGUUAGUGCAAUGGCAUAAGCCAGCUUGACUGCGAGCGUGACGGCGCGAGCAGGUGCGAAAGCAGGUCAUAGUGAUCCGGUGGUUCUGAAUGGAAGGGCCAUCGCUCAACGGAUAAAAGGUACUCCGGGGAUAACAGGCUGAUACCGCCCAAGAGUUCAUAUCGACGGCGGUGUUUGGCACCUCGAUGUCGGCUCAUCACAUCCUGGGGCUGAAGUAGGUCCCAAGGGUAUGGCUGUUCGCCAUUUAAAGUGGUACGCGAGCUGGGUUUAGAACGUCGUGAGACAGUUCGGUCCCUAUCUGCCGUGGGCGCUGGAGAACUGAGGGGGGCUGCUCCUAGUACGAGAGGACCGGAGUGGACGCAUCACUGGUGUUCGGGUUGUCAUGCCAAUGGCACUGCCCGGUAGCUAAAUGCGGAAGAGAUAAGUGCUGAAAGCAUCUAAGCACGAAACUUGCCCCGAGAUGAGUUCUCCCUGACUCCUUGAGAGUCCUGAAGGAACGUUGAAGACGACGACGUUGAUAGGCCGGGUGUGUAAGCGCAGCGAUGCGUUGAGCUAACCGGUACUAAUGAACCGUGAGGCUUAACCUUACAACGCCGAAGGUGUUU